GUGGGGAAUAUUGGACAAUGGGCGCAAGCCUGAUCCAGCAAUGCCGCGUGAGUGAUGAAGGCCUUAGGGUUGUAAAGCUCUUUUACCCGGGAAGAUAAUGACUGUACCGGGAGAAUAAGCCCCGGCUAACUCCGUGCCAGCAGCCGCGGUAAUACGGAGGGGGCUAGCGUUGUUCGGAAUUACUGGGCGUAAAGCGCACGUAGGCGGCUUGGUAAGUUAGGGGUGAAAGCCUGGAGCUCAACUCCAGAAUUGCCUUUAAGACUGCCGAGCUAGCAGGUGAGAGAGGUGAGUGGAAUUCCGAGUGUAGAGGUGAAAUUCGUAGAUAUUCGGAAGAACACCAGUGGCGAAGGCGGCUCACUGGCUCAUACUGGACGCUGAGGUGCGAAAGCGUGGGGAGCAAACAGGAUUAGAUACCCUUGUAGUCC
Molecule: ribosomal RNA, 425 nt
Filed under: uncultured Sphingomonas sp.
Lineage: Bacteria; Pseudomonadati; Pseudomonadota; Alphaproteobacteria; Sphingomonadales; Sphingomonadaceae
Description: bacterial SSU rRNA
Rfam family: Bacterial small subunit ribosomal RNA
Source: RNAcentral